GAGUUUGAUCAUGGCUCAGAUUGAACGCUGGCGGCAGGCCUAACACAUGCAAGUCGAGCGGUAGAGAGAAGCUUGCUUCUCUUGAGAGCGGCGGACGGGUGAGUAAUGCCUAGGAAUCUGCCUGGUAGUGGGGGAUAACGCUCGGAAACGGACGCUAAUACCGCAUACGUCCUACGGGAGAAAGCAGGGACCUUCGGGCCGUUGCGCUAUCAGAUGAGCCUAGGUCGGAUUAGCUAGUUGGUGGGGUAAUGGCUCACCAAGGCGACGAUCCGUAACUGGUCUGAGAGGAUGAUCAGUCACACUGGAACUGAGACACGGUCC
This 321-nucleotide ribosomal RNA is filed under the name uncultured bacterium. RNAcentral describes it as "bacterial SSU rRNA". It matches the Rfam family "Bacterial small subunit ribosomal RNA", at positions 9 to 332 of the family's 1533-position model. The record is from RNAcentral.